GCCCUUGAAAAAAUCAAAGGUGAUACCUGCCCAAUGGUUUUUAAUAAAAUAAUACUAAUAAUAUUAUAAAAAAAUUUAAAGGACGCGGUAACCUUGACUGUGAUAAUGUAGCAUAAUCACUCGCCAUUUAAUUGAUGGAUAGUAUGAAUGGUUUAACGAAUAUUACACUGUCUUAAAAAAAGAACUCAUGAAAAUGAAAUAAUAGUUAAGAUGCUAUUUAAAAUUGUAAGACGAAAAGACCCUAUAGAGCUUAACUAUAAUCUUUUUUUUUAAAAACUGAAAAUAAAUUCCUUAAAAAUAAAAAGACUGGUAGUUUAGUUGGGGCGACUAUCUUCUAAAAACAACGAAGAUAAGCAAUAUUAAUAAAAUAAUUUACUGUAUAAUCAAUAAAUUUAACAGUUAUUAAAAUAGGCUAUAAUGACCCGUUAUAAAUUAGUAAAAAAUAUAACGAUUAAUAAAUAAAAGCUACCUUAGGGAUAACAGGAUAAUUUUGUUUUAGAGAUCUAAUCGAAAACAAAGUUUGUCACCUCUAUGUUGAAUUAAGAUAUCCUGAUAAUGCAGAAGUUAUCAAAGGUAGGUCUGUUCGACCUUAAAAAUCUU
This 600-nucleotide ribosomal RNA is filed under the name Rhysia fletcheri. Its description in RNAcentral is "partial 16S ribosomal RNA". It matches the Rfam family "Bacterial large subunit ribosomal RNA", at positions 1816 to 2597 of the family's 2925-position model. Lineage: Eukaryota; Metazoa; Cnidaria; Hydrozoa; Anthoathecata; Rhysiidae. The record is from RNAcentral.